Molecule: ribosomal RNA, 253 nt
Filed under: uncultured bacterium
Lineage: Bacteria
Description: partial 16S ribosomal RNA
Rfam family: Bacterial small subunit ribosomal RNA
Source: RNAcentral
UACGAAGGGGGCUAGCGUUGUUCGGAAUUACUGGGCGUAAAGGGCGCGUAGGCGGUACUUCAAGUCAGGCGUGAAAGCCCCGGGCUCAACCUGGGAACCGCGCUUGAGACUGGAGAACUAGAGUUCGGGAGAGGAUGGUGGAAUUCCCAGUGUAGAGGUGAAAUGCGUAGAUAUUGGGAGGAACACCAGUGGCGAAAGCGACCUUCUGGGCUAGUCCUGACGCUGAGGCACGAAAGCGUGGGGAGCAAACGGG